UACGUAGGGUGCUAGCGUUGUCCGGAAUUAUUGGGCGUAAAGAGCUUGUAGGCGGUUUGUCGCGUCUGCCGUGAAAGCCCAGGGCUUAACCCUGGGUCUGCGGUGGGUACGGGCAGACUAGAGUGUGGUAGGGGAGACUGGAAUUCCUGGUGUAGCGGUGGAAUGCGCAGAUAUCAGGAGGAACACCGGUGGCGAAGGCGGGUCUCUGGGCAGUAACUGACGCUGAGGAGCGAAAGCGUGGGGAGCGAACAGG
RNAcentral lists this ribosomal RNA (253 nucleotides) under uncultured bacterium. RNAcentral describes it as "partial 16S ribosomal RNA". It matches the Rfam family "Bacterial small subunit ribosomal RNA", at positions 524 to 776 of the family's 1533-position model. The record is from RNAcentral.